This 252-nucleotide ribosomal RNA is filed under the name uncultured bacterium. RNAcentral describes it as "partial 16S ribosomal RNA". It matches the Rfam family "Bacterial small subunit ribosomal RNA", at positions 524 to 775 of the family's 1533-position model. The record is from RNAcentral.
GACAGAGGCCUCAAGCGUUAGGCGGAAUCACUGGGCUUAAAGCGUGUGUAGGCGGAUCGUUAAGUGCCUUGUGAAAUCCCACGGCUUAACUGUGGAACGGCUGGGCAUACUGGCGGUCUUGAGCCAUCUAGGGGCGACUGGAACAAACGGUGGAGCGGUGAAAUGCGUAGAUAUCGAGAGGAACACCUGCGGCGAAGGCGGGUUGCUGGGCUGACACUGACGCUGAUGCGCGAAAGCUAGGGGAGCGAACGG